UCUAAAGAGGGAGGAAUGAAUGCACCAGUCUCACCCUGUAUCCACUAGGGUUGGCUGGGGCAUUUGCUUAGCAUCUCUGAUGCCUUCCCCUGCUUCUCUCAUGGCUGGAAGAAUCCUGCCUAUAUGGCUUCCCUCCUCCCUGCCUCCCCAGUGCUCCUGAAAUGAACACAACACAGUGGGCACCUGUUCAGUGCUUAGCCAAUGAAUGGGAAAUGGGGUUCCCGAUGGUUUGAAAGGCAGAGAGUAGAUGCCAUUGAGCCAGCCGGAGAGGAGAGGUCUGGGGAGAGGGGCGGGUGAAAGGAGAUCAUUAUUGUUGAUAAUCUCUCAUGUUUAGCUGGCAAUUUGCAAUUUUAAAGUGUUAGGAUAGAGCGCUGUGUAUAGGUAUUAGGGAGGCCUAGAGGGAAACCCUAAUUCAAAUGAAAGGCCAAGCUCAGAUCCCAGAGAGAUUAGUCUGAAAUGAUGUAUGGAUCAGCUCAGGUGGGAGGGGAAGGAAAGAACCUUCCAGGCAGAGGAAGCAGCUCAUGCAAAGGCCAGAGAUAAAAGCAAGCCUGGGAGUGGGGUUCUGAGGUGGAUGGGAUGAAAGACUCAUUUGUUCCACAAAUAGUUAUCAAGUGUCUACUUUUAUGUCCGGUCCUGGGCUGGGUGUGGGGUGCAGCUGCCAACGGUCUCUACUGUUCUGCAGUCCUUAUUUGCAUGGAGACUUUGGGCUGUGAAGGAGACAGAGAUGAAAUAGCAAAGCACAUGAAAACAUGAGCUCUGAGAUGGGCAAGUGGUACAAAGGAAGAAGAAAGGCAAGUUCCAGGAGAGAAAGGAAGAGGGGUCCUCACUGACUCAGGCCUAAAGGAUGAGGAGGCCUGAGUCAGCCAGAGAGCAGAGUGGCGCCUUGCAGCAGAGGGAACGACCUGGUGGAGACCCUGACCCCAGGGAGUGCUUAGUACUUUGGAGGAGCUGAAAGAAGGACCUCACCAGCCAGAGGGGGGACCUUCUCCUAGAAGUGGAGUCCUGCAGCCCUGCAUUAGGGGUCUGGCUCUGAGAUCCACUCCAGUGAUUUGGGGCAGUCUCUCCUCUUCUUGGGCCUCAGCUUCUCCAUCUGCAAAGGGGGAUCAUCCUGCCCAUUUCAUGGGGGUGAGGAUGUGGGAAAGCAUCUUGGGAGAUGAGAAGCACACGAGGGAGAAAACAGGGCCUGAGCGAAGUCGCUAGACAACAGGGCACCUGGCAGGGAGCCAACACCUGGCACCAGGUCAGUGGCUGCCCCCUUGGCCACCUGUCGGCUGGAUCCAAGUCGCUGUGGUCAACAGCAGCUGUGCAGGGGCGACGGAGAGACGGUGCGGGUGUGGUGGGCGGAGGGAAAUGGGGUCAGUGCGCCACCUGCCGGGCACCUGAGAGAGAAGGCGAGGCUGCGCGCUCCUUUACCCGGCGGAGGAGCGUGGUGGGGCUCAAGCCCUUCCUGCUUGCCCUUGCCGGGCGCACAGUGGGGCUUCACAAGUAUUCUUCAAGAGUGAAGGGUGUAUCCGGGCGCGGUGGCGCACGUCUGUAAGCCUAGCGACUCCGGGAGCUGAGGCAAGGGGAUCUCAGCAAAUUGGGGAGGCUCAAAACAACUUAGCAAGACCCGAUCUAAAAAUUAAAAAAAAAAAAAAAAAAAA
Ictidomys tridecemlineatus (thirteen-lined ground squirrel) is the source of this 1643-nucleotide long non-coding RNA. RefSeq lists it as uncharacterized. The record is from RefSeq and is a predicted model, not a curated record. NCBI's taxonomy places the organism in Eukaryota, Metazoa, Chordata, Mammalia, Rodentia, Sciuridae.